AAGCAGGGCUGUGACUCUCAGUGAUAGUGCUGAGCUGGCUCUUUUUAGUAGGAAGACUUAUUUCAGCAGAAAUCCUUAGCUCUGUCAGGGCAGAAUUUUGAAGCCUACAAUCUUAGGUAUUUUUAGGUAUUUCUUUGUGAACUGUCAAGUUUCUGGUUACAGAAAUGAUUCACUGUUUAGUUGCAAAAGCCUGUUAGAAAUCUAUAUGCAAGCUGUUGCUGAGGGCAUGCUGCCAUUCAGCACGUGCCAAGCAGCACUGCCUGACACCAACAGCAGGAUCUGUGCUGUUGGGAGGAGAAAGACUAGUACAGAGGAUGUUAGGAAUUAAUGUAGUGUUUGGGUCACUCAAAUAUACUGUUUCUGUGCUUUAAAGGAUUCUUGCUCUUACUCUAACCUGAUAUAAGCACCAAGGACAAGCACUGAUUCUGUUACUUUGCUCUUUCAACCAUACCUAUUGUGCUUCAUCCCCAUCUGAAGAGCAAGAAUCUAAACUGGCUAGAACUCAUUCUGUACCUGACAUGUUGUCCUGAUUCAUAACUGAGAAGCCUGGAUAGCAGCUUGAUUAAAGGUCCGUAUUUUUCCCUGAGAAGCCCAGGCUGGUGCUGCAGUACAUGUACAGGUAGAGGUCUCAGGAGGGAGGACAGCAAGAGUGAAGGGGACAGUGGUAGUGGUGUAACUUUCACCUGUUCUGAAAUGUAGAGGAUUUUCAUCAGAGCACCAAGAGGAGACCACAGGACUAGGCAGUCUCAGGAAUGCAUCCACUGUCUGUAUAGGAACACCAUACUGCCAAAUAAAAGAAUAUAUUCCAGUGUACAGGUAUGCUUCAGUUCUAGUUCACUUUUUAAGUAAGCCAACACAAAAUGCUACACUUCUUAUUUUUACAUUUCAAAAUUUAAAGGCCAAGAUAAAGUUUGUCUCUUCCAGAAGAACUGCAUGUUUUUAAAAGCAGAUGCAAACAAUGCUUACUUCAAUCUAACACUAAUUGCAUCAGAUCAUUAUUUACCUGGUAUCUGUAAGUUUCAUUUGCGUCAGACAGAUUCUGAUCAUCUGUGUUCAUGUCCCAGCUCUCAGGCUCAGCACUGAACGUAGCACUUCCAAACUGCUUAAGCAAUUGAUCAAAAUUCUCAGAAGUAGGAAUUUCAGGGGAACUGAAGGUGAGUGCUUGUUCAUCUGUCAAAACAUUUUAAAGAAUAGGAGAACUUUGGGGAUAAAAGAUACAGAAACAGCAUUUAGUAACAAUUUUUUUCCUUCUGGAGUCAUUAAAAACUCAGCAAUAGAAAAAUAUUAACACAGCUUUUCUCUAAGAAAAGCUUUCUAUUUUAUUUAAAAGAAAACCUAAGCAGUAUCUCAACCCAUUAUUUCCCCCAGGUCCAUGAAAGCACAAACGUAAGGAAAAGGGUAAGUCCCUUACUCUCAAAACCAUGGUUUCUAGCAGCCUAUGUUACAAAACAAAGACUUGUCAGUUAGUGUCUACAGAUCCCAUUGAAGUAUUCAGAUAAUUUAAUUCUGACUGUAUGUUAGUUAAGAGAACACAGCACAGAUAACUCCUUCCCAGCAAGUCACUUCUUCCCAAAGCUGGGCAUAAUGGAUUUGUACCACUGGUGGCUAUUACAUAGUUACAGCAACUGAUCAGGAAGGAGUUAGUUUCCCAUAAGACAACUUUAAAUAUUAUGAUGAUAAAUUAUUUAAAAACAAAUAAACCCCACAAAACAGUUUAUUUUUUUUUCCAACAGAGAAACUAAGAAUUAGAGAUGUUUUAUCUUCACAGUUUCACAAGUGAAAGGAUUACAACAUAAGGACGGUGAACCUGCAGAAUAACCAGUUUUUUGACAGGUUUAGUUAGUUCUAAUUUUAGUCUGUUUCUGGUAUCUAAAGAGCUUACAAAAAUAACACCACAAUGCUUAAUAUUAGCAACAGUUCUUACUUACAGUUUGUAGCAUGAAUGCAGAAAAUACUGGGAUUGACUUGGUCGAUUAAUUUAAAUACUCUUUCUGGUGGAUUUGCUUCAACAUCAAGUGAAUAUAUGGCAGCUUUCUGACUACACAGACGGCUGUCACCUCUGCAAGCAAUAAUAAUAAAAUCAGUGACCUACUUCAAGGUCGUUCCCGUCCUCUUGAAGGGAAGCGCUGAGAGCUGCAAGGCCACAAGAGGGCAUGUUCUCUUUCACGUCGAUCCACUUGACUGCUGCCCAUGCAACUUCACGUCGACAGUGCGUAUUUAGUACAUUGAUGUUCCAGAUUCUGCUGAGAACUGAAAUGAUUCCACAAAGGCUUUGUCACCUUCACACUCUCCUCUUGCCGCACAAGAGCCCAUUACUCACAAAGGAGUUGAUGAGUUAUGCAAGACAAACUGUUGUCUGCCUCACGCAGUACAAGGCUACCAAGGUCAUUUGAUACUAUCAAAGAGCUGGUAACGUAAGAUGGAUUUGAAAUAGCUCCGUAUUACGUGGCGAAGUCCUGGAGUCAUCCUUCUCUUUGGAAAGAAGACUUAAUACUUCAAAGGUGACAUGAAGGUGAGAAUCCAGCAUACUCCAUUGUACCUCAGACAUCUGUGUGCCUUAUGUGUAGACAGUCUCACCUGGGUGUCCAGUCUGCAUUCUUUCUGUUAAAUAUAACUUAAAGUUACUGUAUUUGCCUUCUUCCUUGGGGAAGAAAACCCAGUGUGUUUAGUCUCUUUGUUUCUUUGCUGUUUCUGAGAUUACAAUGGAAACAUUCAUGCUUUUCCUUUCAGUAAGGUCUCCUCAAUGAUGUUACUACUGUUGGGUCUGGCUUUUUUCUCAGGCUUGAAGAGUAACAGUAACUUCAAGUACAUUUCCAUUUUGAAAAGAGACUGUAAAAAUGGCAUCAAGGGCUCCUUUUUCCUUCUCACUAAGGCUGUGCCAGUACUGGCUGCAGACAUCAAAUAGAAAUUACUUUGCAAAGCUGAUGGUGCGCAAGGGACCAGCCUCCUUGAUGAAAACCAAGCCUUGCUGAAAGCACAGAUUGCACCCUGAAUGCAUGUGGGCAGGAGCUGGAUGAAUAAGAGAGAAAGUGGAUGACUUGGUUGAGAUUCUAAAGGAACCGAGGGAGAAACUGAUAAGCAAAACAAACCAGCGCUCCAUAACAGCUGGGAUUUGGGAGGUCCUUGUUCCCAUCCUGAGAUGGUGAUCUUCUGACUCAGCAUCUCCUCCUAUCUCUUCCAUGUGAAGUCUGGCAUCACCCUUUCACAUUAGUUUUCUAUUUGGUUUUAACUGUGCUGUCUUGAACUUCUUCAUCUUUUCAAGGCAAACAUGAGUUUUGCUCCAUGACAGAUGACUUUAAAAACUCAAGCAGACAAGCAUUUUUAAUUAGAGUCAAACCAAAGUCAAAUCAGGCUGAAAUAAACUGCAUUCUGGUCUAGCACAACAUUAGCCCUUAAAUAAAUAGCGAGAAGCCUGGGCUGCCUCUGUACAGCAGAUGGCAUUACAGGUAAUAUUUAUCAUACUCCAAUCCCAAGGCUAAGAUAGCAGGGAGGGAGCAUUGACGUCAGCUACAAGUGAAUCAGUCUUAAUACAAGCUGAAAAACUGCUUGUGCCUUCCACAGUUGAGUACAUUGCACAGCACUUCUGCUUAGAGUUCCCCAUUGCAUUUAUUGGUCUGAGCAAGCCUAGCAGGAAGAGUUCAUUUUGUUUUGCAGCUUAACUGAACUGAUGGAAGUGGAUCUUGGACUUUGAGGUGGGAAGAUUCCACCCAGCUGCAGUAACCAGGGGAAUGCCCUUUGCCCCAGUUUUUGUGCCAAAUUUGUGCAUUUGAGAAUUUUAAACAAAUAUCACUUGGCAGGAUAUUGACCCUCAGGGUACAAGAAUAAUGCAGAGUGAGGCUGCAGGAGGGCAUGUCCUGAGAGGGAUUUAUGGGAGACCUAUCAGGACUCGUACUGAACAGUGGGGAAACCCAAAUGUCCUGUUUCAUUUCCAGCGGUUGUUCUUCGUCUCAUGGGAGCUAAGUGAGCUGAAUGAAAACCAACAGCAGUUUUGCAUCUGGGCACAGUGUGAGUGAAAGACUACAGUGCAGGAGUGAAAGAGUUCAGCAGUGGUCACUAAUUCUCAUACAGAUGAUGCCACCUUCCUCGUGUCUGGGUGCUGAGCAGGGAUUGAGGAGCAUGAGCUGGCAUGGGAGCCCUUACUGAAACAUGGGGCUGUGCUCUACCAAGUGUGUUUGACAGCCUUGUGCUCACACUGAGUUUCCCAACCCAUGGCUGACUGGCAAAGCAGUACAGAGAGUGUCCCAUCCAGCUCCGGGAAACACCCCAUGCUUCCAACCAAACCUGGGUUCUCUGUGGCUCAACACAGUGUGCA
Long non-coding RNA from Pezoporus occidentalis (night parrot), 4312 nucleotides. RefSeq lists it as uncharacterized. The record is from RefSeq and is a predicted model, not a curated record. The transcript has 6 exons. NCBI's taxonomy places the organism in Eukaryota, Metazoa, Chordata, Aves, Psittaciformes, Psittacidae.